UUUGUGUCUUAAGAUACUCUAGAAUUAAACGAAUAAUAUGCAAGCAUGUUAACUACCUCAAGAAUUCAUCAACCUAGAACUAGCGAAUGUGUCCAAACUACGAUCAAGGAAAUGCAAAUAUGAGAUCAAUCUCUCAAAUCAAACUUUAGGGAGGGACAAAUGAUAUGGUCUAAAAUAAGUCUUACCGUCGAGAUAUUUACAUGUGUCACUCGUCGAUCCAAAUUAAUACAAUUUGAGGCAUCUUCUUGCUAUUCCGCCGGGAUGACCAUGAGCCAAGAAAGGUCAUAGGAAUCAAGACAUAAUCAAUACAGCUCACAUGGUCAAGCGUUGAUCUUGGUAGGACCUCUGCUGUUGAUGCUACAUAAAGCUCAUUGGGGAUUCCCUAAGAAAUCCCCACAAAGGAGCAUAUACCAAAAGUCCCAUCAUUUCAACGAUCAAACUCCAAGCGAGCUUAGCCAUGCCGAAGCUAUGCAAUCACAUAAUUACAAUUGCUUCAAUCACUAUAUCCCAUCCAAUCACCAUGUCGCCUAGCCAAUAUAAAUAGAAGAGACAAAGGCUCAAACAAGGGGAGAUACUCUUUUAGGUUCUUGCAUCUCUGAUCCUUAUGCCGACUUCAUAUCCUUAGAACAGGAACCAACUUAACCAUUAAAUGUUUUACAAUGGGGAACCCACCGACCUCAUCACAAGUCAUAACCAACCAUCUUGCGUAUUGCAUGUUCCACACAUUAAAUCCUCAAAGUCUUCGUAUUUCCGACCGGCAUCAAAUACUGCUUAAUCCCAUGGUGUUUAAUGUUAACCUUUAUAUCUCCCUACGCAGCAGCAUUACCCUCUUCUGCAGCAGCCUCAAAUGUCUCCCCAGCCACAAGAUCUGGGAUCACCUCAUCAUCAUCAUCCACUUGUGCUGUGGUUGCUGUAGCACCUGCACCUGGUGCCUGCUUCUGGAUCUGCUCCGCCAACUUCUUCAAGUUGUCCAAAUUAUCAGGACCCAAAUGGCUGAGAACUUGAGGGAGAAUAUCCUGCAAUUUCUUGGUCUGUGGAGAUCCA
RNAcentral lists this unclassified non-coding RNA (1044 nucleotides) under Hevea brasiliensis (rubber tree). The record is from RNAcentral. Lineage: Eukaryota; Viridiplantae; Streptophyta; Magnoliopsida; Malpighiales; Euphorbiaceae.